This 328-nucleotide long non-coding RNA is filed under the name Trifolium pratense (red clover). RNAcentral describes it as "long non-coding RNA (TPRA_LNC008440)". The record is from RNAcentral. Lineage: Eukaryota; Viridiplantae; Streptophyta; Magnoliopsida; Fabales; Fabaceae.
UUGGGCCUUAGGGUUUGUGUAAUAAUAAUUUAUGACCGCCUCUACAACACAACACAACACAACACAACGUGUUUUGUUGACAAUCACAAUUCAUUCAUUCAUUCACAAUCACAUUAACAUUCACAAUCGCACAAAACUGAGGUUCAGCUGCUUCAUCGCUUCUUCCAUUUCUCAAACCAAACUAGCAUGUUCUCUUCCCUCCAAGGUUCCCUCUCUUUCUCUUCUUCCUCUAUUUUCAUUUCGUUUUUUCUUUUCCGUUUUGGGUAAUAAUUUUGAUAUUUUUUCAAUAUUUUCUAUACUAUUCAAUAUGGGUUGCUUCGUUUAUUUG